CCUACGGGCGGCAGCAGUGAGGAAUAUUGGUCAAUGGACGAGAGUCUGAACCAGCCAAGUAGCGUGAAGGAUGACUGCCCUAUGGGUUGUAAACUUCUUUUAUAUGGGAAUAAAAUGUUGCACGUGUGGGAUUUUGUAUGUACCAUAUGAAUAAGGAUCGGCUAAAUCCGUGCCAGCAGCCGCGGUAAUACGGUGGAUCCGAGCGUUAUCCGGAUUUAUUGGGUUUAAAGGGAGCGUAGGUGGAUUGUUAAGUCAGUUGUGAAAGUUUGCGGCUCAACCGUAAAAGUGCAGUUGAAACUGGCAGUCUUGAGUACAGUAGAGGUGAGCGGAAUUCGUGGUGUAGCGGUGAAAUGCUUAGAUAUCACGAAGAACUCCGAUUGCGAAGGCAGUUCACUGGACUGCAACUGACACUGAGGCUCGAAAGUGUGGGUAUCAAACAGGAUUAGAUACCCCUGUAGUC
This 460-nucleotide ribosomal RNA is filed under the name uncultured bacterium. Its description in RNAcentral is "partial 16S ribosomal RNA". It matches the Rfam family "Bacterial small subunit ribosomal RNA", at positions 338 to 795 of the family's 1533-position model. The record is from RNAcentral.